This 774-nucleotide ribosomal RNA is filed under the name uncultured Neocallimastigales. RNAcentral describes it as "partial large subunit ribosomal RNA". It matches the Rfam family "Eukaryotic large subunit ribosomal RNA", at positions 26 to 616 of the family's 3401-position model. Lineage: Eukaryota; Fungi; Neocallimastigomycota; Neocallimastigomycetes; Neocallimastigales. The record is from RNAcentral.
CGCAUCUGUGCAUGCAGCAUAUCAAUAAGCGGAGGAAAAGAAACUAACAAGGAUUCCCCUAGUAACGGCGAGUGAAGCGGGAAGAGCUCAAAUUUGAAAUCUUAAAGGGUUUCCCUUUACGAAUUGUAGUUUAAAGAAGUGUUUUCUGUUGAGGUUUUGGUAAAAGUUCUUUGGAGUAGGACAUCAUAGAGGGUGAGAAUCCCGUAUUUGACCUUUACUUUCAACUUUGUGAUACACUUUCAAAGAGUCGGAUUGUUUGGGAAUGCAGUCCAAAAUGGGUGGUAAAUUUCAUCUAAAGCUAAAUAUUGGCGAGAGACCGAUAGCGAACAAGUACCGUGAGGGAAAGAUGAAAAGAACUUUGAAAAGAGAGUUAAACAGUACGUGAAAUUGUCAAAAGGGAAGCGUUUGACACCAGUGUUGUUUUUCUGAAAAUCAAUUAAAGAACUGUUUAUGCUAAGUUGUUUAGACUUUAUCAGCUAACUGUUUAGUUUUGAGCUUUUCUUUAAUGCACUUUUCAGUUAACAAGUCAACAUCAAUUUCUUUUGCUGUAAAAAAGCUUGAGGAAGGUGGCUUGAGAUUCGUCUUAAGUGUUUAUAGCCUCUUGCCUAUGCAGUCGGAGAGAUUGAGGUCUGCAGCGUAGAUCCUUCGGGGCUAAAUGCAUUUGUGCUAAGUUAUAGCAUUUUAUAGACAACUUGUUGACUAUGAUUUGUCUUGUAGCUUACUCGCUUAUGUUAUUUUACCUACGCUUAGGAUGUUGAGCGCAUGUCUCUCUCU